This 427-nucleotide ribosomal RNA is filed under the name uncultured bacterium. RNAcentral describes it as "partial 16S ribosomal RNA". It matches the Rfam family "Bacterial small subunit ribosomal RNA", at positions 355 to 774 of the family's 1533-position model. The record is from RNAcentral.
UGGGGAAUAUUGGACAAUGGGCGAAAGCCUGAUCCAGCCAUGCCGCGUGUGUGAAGAAGGUCUUCGGAUUGUAAAGCACUUUAAGUUGGGAGGAAGGGCAUUAACCUAAUACGUUAGUGUUUUGACGUUACCGACAGAAUAAGCACCGGCUAACUCUGUGCCAGCAGCCGCGGUAAUACAGAGGGUGCAAGCGUUAAUCGGAAUUACUGGGCGUAAAGCGCGCGUAGGUUGUUUGGUAAGGUGGAUGUGAAAUCCCCGGGCUCAACCUGGGAACUGCAUUCAAAACUGACUGACUAGAGUAUGGUAGAGGGUGGUGGAAUUUCCUGUGUAGCGGUGAAAUGCGUAGAUAUAGGAAGGAACACCAGUGGCGAAGGCGACCACCUGGACUAAUACUGACACUGAGGUGCGAAAGCGUGGGGAGCAAACA